GUGGGGAAUAUUGGACAAUGGGCGAAAGCCUGAUCCAGCCAUGCCGCGUGUGUGAAGAAGGUCUUCGGAUUGUAAAGCACUUUAAGUUGGGAGGAAGGGCAGUAAGUUAAUACCUUGCUGUUUUGACGUUACCGACAGAAUAAGCACCGGCUAACUUCGUGCCAGCAGCCGCGGUAAUCCGAAGGGUGCAAGCGUUAAUCGGAAUUACUGGGCGUAAAGCGCGCGUAGGUGGUUUUGUAAGUUGGAGGUGAAAUCCCCGGGCUCAACCUGGGAACUGCCUCCAAAACUGCAUGACUAGAGUACGGUAGAGGGUAGUGGAAUUUCCUGUGUAGCGGUGAAAUGCGUAGAUAUAGGAAGGAACACCAGAGGCGAAGGCGACUACCUGGACUGAUACUGACACUGAGGUGCGAAAGCGUGGGGAGCAAAUGGGAUUAGAAACCCGGGUAGUCC
This 450-nucleotide ribosomal RNA is filed under the name uncultured bacterium. Its description in RNAcentral is "bacterial SSU rRNA". It matches the Rfam family "Bacterial small subunit ribosomal RNA", at positions 354 to 796 of the family's 1533-position model. The record is from RNAcentral.